This 399-nucleotide ribosomal RNA is filed under the name uncultured bacterium. RNAcentral's name for it is "bacterial SSU rRNA". It matches the Rfam family "Bacterial small subunit ribosomal RNA", at positions 361 to 776 of the family's 1533-position model. The record is from RNAcentral.
AUAUUGGACAAUGGGGGAAACCCUGAUCCAGCCAUGCCGCGUGAGUGACGAAGGCCUUCUGGGUUGUAAAACUCUUUCGACGGGGACGAUAAUGACGGUACCCGUAGAAGAAGCUCCGGCUAACUUCGUGCCAGCAGCCGCGGUAAUACGAAGGGGGCUAGCGUUGUUCGGAAUUACUGGGCGUAAAGCGCGCGCAGGCGGCUAUCCAAGUCAGUGGUGAAAGCCCGGAGCUCAACUCCGGAACUGCCAUUGAAACUGUUUAGCUUGAGGACGAGAGAGGUGAGUGGAAUUCCCAGUGUAGAGGUGAAAUUCGUAGAUAUUGGGAAGAACACCAGUGGCGAAGGCGGCUCACUGGCUCGUAUCUGACGCUCAGGCGCGAUAGCGUGGGGAUCAAACAGG